Molecule: ribosomal RNA, 496 nt
Filed under: uncultured bacterium
Lineage: Bacteria
Description: partial 16S ribosomal RNA
Rfam family: Bacterial small subunit ribosomal RNA
Source: RNAcentral
GAUGAACGCUGGCGGCGUGCCUAAUACAUGCAAGUCGAGCGAACAGACGAGGAGCUUGCUCCUCUGACGUUAGCGGCGGACGGGUGAGUAACACGUGGAUAACCUACCUAUAAGACUGGGAUAACUUCGGGAAACCGGAGCUAAUACCGGAUAAUAUAUUGAACCGCAUGGUUCAAUAGUGAAAGACGGUUUUGCUGUCACUUAUAGAUGGAUCCGCGCCGCAUUAGCUAGUUGGUAAGGUAACGGCUUACCAAGGCAACGAUGCGUAGCCGACCUGAGAGGGUGAUCGGCCACACUGGAACUGAGACACGGUCCAGACUCCUACGGGAGGCAGCAGUAGGGAAUCUUCCGCAAUGGGCGAAGGCCUGACGGAGCAACGCCGCGUGAGUGAUGAAGGUCUUCGGAUCGUAAAACUCUGUUAUUAGGGAAGAACAAAUGUGUAAGUAACGAUGCACGUCUUGACGGUACCUAAUCAGAAAGCCACGGCUAACUACGU